UCUGCAGUAUUUAUCUAUUGGCCUUGG
Molecule: small RNA, 27 nt
Filed under: Bombyx mori (domestic silkworm)
Lineage: Eukaryota; Metazoa; Arthropoda; Insecta; Lepidoptera; Bombycidae
Description: ovarian small RNA-7781
Source: RNAcentral